RNAcentral lists this transfer RNA (98 nucleotides) under Apiosordaria backusii. RNAcentral's name for it is "tRNA-Glu". It matches the Rfam family "tRNA". Rfam says of the family: Transfer RNA (tRNA) molecules are approximately 80 nucleotides in length. Their secondary structure includes four short double-helical elements and three loops (D, anti-codon, and T loops). The record is from RNAcentral. Lineage: Eukaryota; Fungi; Ascomycota; Sordariomycetes; Sordariales; Lasiosphaeriaceae.
UCGGGUAUGGUGAAGCGGUAACAUCGUUGACUCUCGAGACUUCUCAGAAGUGUCUGUUUCUCUCUCAACAGCCCCGGGUUCGACUCCCGGUAUCCGAG